RNAcentral lists this ribosomal RNA (292 nucleotides) under uncultured bacterium. Its description in RNAcentral is "partial 16S ribosomal RNA". It matches the Rfam family "Bacterial small subunit ribosomal RNA", at positions 505 to 796 of the family's 1533-position model. The record is from RNAcentral.
GUGCCAGCCGCCGCGGUAAGACGGAGGGUGCUAGCGUUGUUCGGAAUCACUGGGCGUAAAGGGCGCGUAGGCGGCCUUAGGUGUCGGAUGUGAAAGCCCGGGGCUCAACCCCGGAGGUGCAUCCGAAACUCUGGGGCUGGAGGUCGGAAGAGGAGGGUGGAAUACCCAGUGUAGAGGUGAAAUUCGUAGAUAUUGGGUGGAACACCGGUGGCGAAAGCGGCUCUCUGGUCCGGACCUGACGCUGAGGCGCGAAAGCGUGGGGAGCAAACAGGAUUAGAAACCCGCGUAGUCC